RNAcentral lists this microRNA precursor (64 nucleotides) under Myotis davidii. Its description in RNAcentral is "mir-9242 microRNA precursor family". It matches the Rfam family "mir-9242 microRNA precursor family". Lineage: Eukaryota; Metazoa; Chordata; Mammalia; Chiroptera; Vespertilionidae. The record is from Rfam by way of RNAcentral.
GGCCUCCUUCUGUGGGGCGAUCGAUCAUGGGGCUCUGCGAUUGAUCGCCGCGCAGAGGAUGGCC